Molecule: long non-coding RNA, 1250 nt
Filed under: Fragaria vesca (wild strawberry)
Lineage: Eukaryota; Viridiplantae; Streptophyta; Magnoliopsida; Rosales; Rosaceae
Description: long non-coding RNA (FVES_LNC004049)
Source: RNAcentral
GAACAGUCGUAACUUCCUCUAGGAAAUACAUAUGAACGAACCGUAAACGGUUUUGGAAACUAGACUCAUUUAGCUUUCCAACCGUAUAUUACACACAUUCUGAUUCAUCAGGAGCUGUUCACAAAAUCCCGUCGAAGUUGACUGUUUUGCCAAAAUCAGAUUCUCGGACAGAUUCGUCCUACUUUACGAAAACGGCCAUAACUCACUCAAUAUGAUAGGUAUGAUCAAAUGGUUGCUGUCUCUGGAAAGUAGACACAUAGACCUUUCCAAUGGUACCAAUUUUACCAUAUUCUAGUGAGUGAGGUUUCUUGUAAGUCCCGUGGAGCUUGACCUACGAAACUUGGCAGAUUCUGAUUUCGCUAUUGAUGUGUCUUUCUUAUGUAGGGAUAGAAUAAGCCUCAACCUUUCAUACCAUUAAGUAUUGAAAAAGGAGUUACUGCCAUUACAUUGGCGUUGCGUGGGCGCAUAGCUACACUUAGCUUUACAACUUUUCAUAGCGAAUGAGAUGUCAAGGCUUUCGUAUUGUGUUGAGUACAUUGAUGCGUCUUAUUGUACUUAGAUGAGAACUCCAUCUCUUAACAUAUAUUUGUCAUCUUGCUUUAGACAAAACAACGGAUCUUUCUUUAGAGCAAAGACCUUGACUAAUCAUGGGAGUAUAUGUAGGCCUCACUAGUUAUAGAGCGCCUAAGCCGAUUGAUGGAAAAUCAUCUUCAAUACAGUCAUCGAGUGCCUUAUCGAGACCAUGUCUUCCCAAAAUCUUUUUCUUCGGAUGUUGAUACAUAUUGACAUCUCUUGAUCUAUCAAGAGUUCAUGUAAAUCCGGAAUGAACACGCAAAGGCAUAAUUCACCAUAUCUCUUCCAAAUCAAGUAGAGUCCAUGUGCGUUUCAAUACAUUUAGCAAAUGCAUGCUCCUAUGGUUUGGAGCCACUUGAUUCGGAUGAAUGAAGUCCGUUUUAGAUCUUCAUGUAUAUCUCUGAUCCCAUAGAGAUGUUAUUAUGACCACAUUCAUAGGCUGCAUGUUCAGUUAUUCGGAAACUACCAAACUGACAAAGUAGUGGAGUUCAAUGACAUCCAUUACGAGAGCAUAUCUCAUCGUAGUUGAUCCCAGUGCGUGUUAGUGAAAGACCUUGCGCCAUAAGGUGAGUCUAAGCUCUUACUCUCACUACGCUAUCUAACAAAAGCAUAGUUGAUAGGGUUUAGCUUGCGGUGUCGGCAUCACCUGCCCAAGGACCUAUCUCUUUGUUAAUGUU